RNAcentral lists this ribosomal RNA (497 nucleotides) under uncultured bacterium. RNAcentral's name for it is "partial 16S ribosomal RNA". It matches the Rfam family "Bacterial small subunit ribosomal RNA", at positions 28 to 507 of the family's 1533-position model. The record is from RNAcentral.
GACGAACGCUGGCGGCGUGCCUAAUACAUGCAAGUAGAACGCUGAAGCGAGGAGCUUGCUCUUCUUGGAUGAGUUGCGAACGGGUGAGUAACGCGUAGGUAACCUGCCUUGUAGCGGGGGAUAACUAUUGGAAACGAUAGCUAAUACCGCAUAACAAUGGAUGACCCAUGUCAUUUAUUUGAAAGGGGCAAAUGCUCCACUACAAGAUGGACCCGCGUUGUAUUAGCUAGUAGGUGAGGUAACGGCUCACCUAGGCGACGAUACAUAGCCGACCUGAGAGGGUGAUCGGCCACACUGGGACUGAGACACGGCCCAGACUCCUACGGGAGGCAGCAGUAGGGAAUCUUCGGCAAUGGGGGCAACCCUGACCGAGCAACGCCGCGUGAGUGAAGAAGGUUUUCGGAUCGUAAAGCUCUGUUGUAAGUCAAGAACGAGUGUGAGAGUGGAAAGUUCACACUGUGACGGUAGCUUACCAGAAAGGGACGGCUAACUACGUG